Molecule: ribosomal RNA, 2953 nt
Filed under: Paenibacillus lentus
Lineage: Bacteria; Bacillati; Bacillota; Bacilli; Caryophanales; Paenibacillaceae
Description: 23S ribosomal RNA
Rfam family: Bacterial large subunit ribosomal RNA
Source: RNAcentral
UUAUGGUUAAGCUACUAAGAGCACACGGAGGAUGCCUAGGCGCUAGGAGCCGAAGAAGGACGUGGCGAACAACGAAACUGCCUCGGGGAGCUGUAAGCAAGCUUUGAUCCGGGGGUGUCCGAAUGGGGAAACCCGGCUGUGGUAAUACGCAGUCACUCACAUCUGAAUACAUAGGGUGUGAAGAGGCAUACCAGGGGAACUGAAACAUCUAAGUACCCUGAGGAAGAGAAAACAAGAGUGAUUCCGUCAGUAGCGGCGAGCGAACGCGGAACAGCCUAAACCAGAGAGCUUGCUCUCUGGGGUUGUGGGACGUCUCACACGGAGUUACAAAGGAACCGAUUAGACGAACAGGUCUGGAAAGGCCGGCCAUAGAAGGUAAAAGCCCUGUAAUCGAAAGUCUGUUCCCUCCGAGACGGAUCCCGAGUAGUGCGGGGCACGUGAAACCCCGUAUGAAUCUGCCAGGACCAUCUGGUAAGGCUAAAUACUCCCUAGCGACCGAUAGUGAAGCAGUACCGUGAGGGAAAGGUGAAAAGCACCCCGGAAGGGGAGUGAAAAAGAACCUGAAACCGUGUGCUUACAAGAAGUCAGAGCCCUAUGCGGAAACUUGUUUCCGCACGGGUGAUGGCGUGCCUUUUGUAGAAUGAACCGGCGAGUUACGUUCCCGUGCAAGGUUAAGGUGAAGAGCCGAAGCCGCAGCGAAAGCGAGUCUGAAUAGGGCGAUUUAGUACGUGGACGUAGACCCGAAACCGGGUGAUCUACCCCUGUCCAGGGUGAAGGUGCGGUAACACGCACUGGAGGCCCGAACCCACGUAUGUUGAAAAAUGCGGGGAUGAGGUGGGGGUAGCGGAGAAAUACCAAUCGAACUCGGAGAUAGCUGGUUCUCCCCGAAAUAGCUUUAGGGCUAGCCUCGGUGAAUAGAGUCGUGGAGGUAGAGCACUGAUUGGGUGCGGGGCCCGCCAAGGGUUACCAAGCUCAGUCAAACUCCGAAUGCCAUGGACUUAUAACCGGGAGUCAGACAGUGAGUGCUAAGAUCCAUUGUCAAGAGGGAAACAGCCCAGACCAUCAGCUAAGGUCCCCAAGUGUGUGUUAAGUGGGAAAGGAUGUGGAGUUGCACAGACAACCAGGAUGUUGGCUUAGAAGCAGCCAUCAUUUAAAGAGUGCGUAAUAGCUCACUGGUCGAGUGACUCUGCGCCGAAAAUGUAACGGGGCUAAACACACCACCGAAGCUAUGGCUUGAUGCUUUGCAUCAGGGGUAGGGGAGCGUUGUAUGUGGAUUGAAGUUGGACCGGGAGGACUGGUGGACUGCAUACAAGUGAGAAUGCCGGUAUGAGUAACGAAAAGAUCAGUGAGAAUCUGAUCCGCCGAAAGCCCAAGGUUUCCUGAGGAAGGUUCGUCCGCUCAGGGUAAGUCGGGACCUAAGGCGAGGCCGAAAGGCGUAGUCGAAGGACAACAGGUUGAAAUUCCUGUACCACCGUAAUCCGCUAUGAGCGACGGGGUGACGCAGUAGGGUAGUGACGCGAGCUGAUGGAUGCUCGUCCAAGCAGUGAGGCUGAUGUGUAGGCAAAUCCGCACAUCAUUAAGGCUGGGCUGUGAUGGGGAGGGAAAAUUUACAGUACCGAAGGUCAUGAUCUCACACUGCCGAGAAAAGCCUCUAGCCAGGAGAAGGUGCCCGUACCGCAAACCGACACAGGUAGGCGAGAAGAGAAUUCUAAGGCGCGCGGAAGAACUCUCGUUAAGGAACUCGGCAAAAUGACCCCGUAACUUUGGGAGAAGGGGUGCCCCGGUAGUGUGAAUAGCACGAGGGGGCCGCAGUGAAAAGGCCCAAGCGACUGUUUAGCAAAAACACAGGUCUGUGCGAAGCCGUAAGGCGAAGUAUACGGGCUGACGCCUGCCCGGUGCUGGAAGGUUAAGGGGAGCGGUUAGGGAGCAAUCCCGAAGCUGUGAACCGAAGCCCCAGUAAACGGCGGCCGUAACUAUAACGGUCCUAAGGUAGCGAAAUUCCUUGUCAGGUAAAUUCUGACCCGCACGAAUGGCGUAACGACUUGGGCGCUGUCUCAACGAGAGAUCCGGUGAAAUUUUAAUACCUGUGAAGAUGCAGGUUACCCGCGACAAGACGGAAAGACCCCAUGGAGCUUUACUACAGCUUGAUAUUGAACUUUGAUGCGAUUUGUACAGGAUAGGUGGGAGCCUAGGAAUCCGGAGCGCCAGCUUCGGUGGAGGCAUCGUUGGGAUACCACCCUGAUCGUAUCGAAGUUCUAACCUAGGACCGUGAUCCGGUUCGGGGACAGUGUCAGGCGGGUAGUUUGACUGGGGCGGUCGCCUCCUAAAGAGUAACGGAGGCGCCCCAAGGUUCCCUCAGAAUGGUUGGAAAUCAUUCGUAGAGUGCAAAGGCAAAAGGGAGCUUGACUGCGAGACUGACAAGUCGAGCAGGGACGAAAGUCGGGCUUAGUGAUCCGGUGGUACCGCAUGGAAGGGCCAUCGCUCAACGGAUAAAAGCUACCCUGGGGAUAACAGGCUUAUCUCCCCCAAGAGUCCACAUCGACGGGGAGGUUUGGCACCUCGAUGUCGGCUCAUCGCAUCCUGGGGCUGAAGUAGGUCCCAAGGGUUGGGCUGUUCGCCCAUUAAAGCGGUACGCGAGCUGGGUUCAGAACGUCGUGAGACAGUUCGGUCCCUAUCUGUCGUGGGCGUAGGAAAUUUGAGAGGAGCUGUCCUUAGUACGAGAGGACCGGGAUGGACGCACCGCUGGUGCACCAGUUGUUCCGCCAGGAGCAUAGCUGGGUAGCUACGUGCGGAUGGGAUAAACGCUGAAAGCAUCUAAGCGUGAAGCCCUCCUCAAGAUGAGAUUUCCCAAUUAGUAAGACCCCUUGAAGACGACGAGGUUGAUAGGCCUGAGGUGGAAGUGCAGCAAUGUAUGGAGCUGACAGGUACUAAUCGGUCGAGGGCUUAUCCAAAA